This 390-nucleotide unclassified non-coding RNA is filed under the name Hevea brasiliensis (rubber tree). The record is from RNAcentral. Lineage: Eukaryota; Viridiplantae; Streptophyta; Magnoliopsida; Malpighiales; Euphorbiaceae.
AAUAAAAAAGAAAAAAAAAAAGAAAAGCAUUUUUUUUUUUAACAUUCUGAACUUGCUGCCAUCAAGAUUUUUAGGUUGAUGCUUUAGCUGAUCUCGGUUGCAGAAUGCCAGUGAUCUUCUGUUUAAUGAUUGUAUUGACCUUGUCAAAUCUGGUAGGGGGUCAAGUUAUGCUGAUCUUUUCCAACCUCCCUUGUCCUCCCCCCUUUUUUUUUUCGUUGCUUCAUUUCUGGCGCUGUAUGAUUUGUGUCCUUAUCUGCUGAUGCAUCUCACUUAGGCGAUAUUGCUGACUUGUAUUUGAAUUGAUUUCUUGUUUAGGAGUUGGUUAUGGUAAUCUGAUUUCUGAUUUCCUUCUCUUUUCUUUGGCAGGAAGGAUUGGACUGUGCAAAGUUC